AACACACACUGAUAAACCGCAAAAAAACCAAAAACAGAAGAGAACAUAAAAUAUAUGAUGAAUUAUGAACAAUCUUUUCUUCCCAUUUUGCCCUCCCAUCGCCGCCGGCAAUUCCUUAGCCAUUUUUAGGGUUUUAUUAGGGAAACUCUAAGAGAGAAGGUAUAGUCGUGGAGAGGUCUCCGACGAAAUAAACAAAAGUAAAAACGACGUUGUGGGGGUAGUGAACUAGGGCUUUAAAGACAGAGAAGUUUCAAAGAUUGAAACCGGUGUACAUGGCUCCAGGGCGGAAGCGAGCAAAAGGCGGUGGCUCUGCAGGAGGAGAAGGCGGAGGAGGAGGGGGACCUAAGUCGAAAGCUCAAUUGAAUAUAGGCGAUCUUGUCCUCGCCAAAGUCAAGGGCUUUCCUGCUUGGCCCGCCAAGAUAAGCAGACCUGAAGACUGGGAUCGAGCUCCUGAUCCAAAAAAAUAUUUUGUUCAAUUCUAUGGUACAGAAGAAAUAGCUUUUGUUGCUCCUGCGGAUAUUCAGGCAUUUACAAGUGAUUCCAAGAAUAAAUUGUCAGCUCGUUGCCGAGGGAAGACAGUUAAAUACUUUGCACAAGCUGUGAGGGAAAUUUCUGAAGAAUUUGAACGGUUGCAACAUCAAAGUCCAAGUGGCCUCAGAGAUGAUAAAAGUCCAUUGGCAUUUGUAACUGAUGUGCAUUCUGCCGAUGGGGAAAUAGGUGAUGCUAUAGAGGCUGAUCUAAAGGAAGUGAGUGGGAAUAAGGGAAUUAAUCAGCCAACAGAGGUCAGAGGCUUGGGUGACCAUGGCACUGGCUCUCAGAGACAAGAGGAGAUAGACCAUAGGGACAUAAAGUCCACCUUUGAUGAUGGAAAUGGGGGUUUGUCUAAGAGGAGCAAGUUUUGUGAUGGUCGCGCUGAUUUAGUGAAAAAGGAGGUGAUGUCAACAUCUAUUUCAAGCCGUCGUUCGCUUCAUAAGGAAACUUCUUGUGAAAGGAGAGUUGAAGAGUCUUCUUCAAGGCAAAUGAGUCAUGGAGGGGGCUCAAAGGUUAGUGAAAACUAUUCUCCUGAUGCGGCAGAAGAAGGUUUGUCAGCUUCAUUGUCCUCAGAGCAUGAGAACUAUCCUGAUGUUGCAGAUGAUUUUAGAAAUGGACGCAAACCAAGGGUAGCUUCUGGAGAUGAGGCUGACAAAAGAAUUGGAUUUGGUGGCAAGCAGUCAUCUCAGAAUUUGGUGAAAAGUGAUGGUGGGAAAAAAGUGAAAAAAUUGUUGAAAGAUAAUAAGAAUUUUGAUCUGAAGGAUAAGCCUCAGAUAGAUGUUGAAGAAAGUUCUGUUGAUGAGGUUAAGUUUUCCAGCAAGAAACAAGGGCAAGGAAAACAAAUUUCAAAAAGUAAUGAAGUCUUAGAUCCUGCCAGAAGGUCAAAAUGUGAUGAUGUGACUGAUGAUUCCAAGGUGUCACUGCAAAGCAGAAAGGUUGAGGCCCAAAUGAAGAAUAAAAAAAUGGUAGAAGUAGAGGGUAAAAGGUCUGUAGUGCUGGGGAAAGGAGAAAGUCAACUGGACAUGAGAACUCUAUCGAGCACUACUGAUUCCAAUCUUUCUGGUGAUGAAGAUGUUCUCCCUCCACCAAAGCGCCGUCGUCGUGCCAUGGAGGCUAUGUCCACCGCCUCUGCUUUGAAUUUUGAAACUAGAAUUGGAAGAAGUUCUGCUGUACUGAAGAAUGACAUGUCAAGGCGGAGAGCUGUUCGCCUAUGCGAUGACGACGAAGAAGAAGAGCCCAAAACUCCUGUUCAUGAAGGGUCUACAAAGAAAGUCUUGGCUACUGUGCAUGGACCGGUUUCUACAAAGAGAGGCGACGUACAUACUUCUUUUUCUGAUCAAUUUAGCAAAAGAGGUUCUGGUCCACCUGAGGGUCAAUCUUCUAAGAAAUUGGUAGUAUCUGGUGAUCAAUUGGUUGAGCACUUGUCUCCUAAUUCUCAGCAAACUGAGGAGAAGAAGCAAGGGAAAGCAACGGCUUUCCACAUUUCUAAUAGUCCUGGAAAACUAGAGUCUGAGAAAGUAUCUCUCAAGGAAAGUAAACAGGUUUCUGUUUCCCCUAGAAGUUCCCCUCUCUCUUUUUCUGCUGUUAAAUCAGUGACAGACCUUCAAAAGUCCUACAAGCUCUCGGGUAAGGUUCCUAGCAACAUGCAUCAGAGAAAGGCUACGGCAUCUGACCCUGGUGUGACUUCUGAGUGCUUGAACUCAACAGCUAAUCAGCAAAAUGAAAGAUGCACGCCAGAAAUUUCCGCAGACAGAAACAAAGCUACUCCAAAAUCACAUCCUAAGACCAAUGAUGUUCCUCUUCCAUUAGGAAUGACGGAAAAUCGUUUCUUACAGGGGGAAAGAUCUGAAGAUGGUAAAGAUGACAAACUAAGUUCGUCAAUUGAUCAAAGAUCUUCGGAUUCUGUUUUGUCUAUGAAACAUCUUAUUGCAGCUGCUCAGGCCAAAAAGAAACAAGCUCAUUUGCAGAACUUCAGUGACAACCCUAAUUUUCUUCUGGCACUAAACACUGAUGAACCGGUGAGGACCCCUAGCCCUGCUCCUGUUGCUCAGCCUAUGGGGUCCAGCAGCAUGGCACCUUCAGAUGUACAGGGAUUUCUUCCUAAAUCAUCGAUGAUUUCUCCUCCAUCUGAUGUAUAUCAUGCUUCGUCAACUAAUCAACAUGACACUGAAGAAUUUGUAGAGGGGAUUAGUUCUGGGCAUCGGACUGCUGGGGGUUCGCUUAGUGGUGGUACUGAGGCUGCUGUUUCUCGUGAUGCCUUUGAAGGAAUGAUAGAGACAUUGUCAAGGACAAAAGACAGUAUUGGACGUGCUACACGUCUUGCUAUUGAUUGUGCAAAGUAUGGCCUUGCCAAUGAGGUGGUUGAACUUCUCAUUCGGAAAUUGGAGAGCGAGUCAAGUUUUCAUCGGAAAGUGGACCUGUUUUUCCUUGUGGAUUCAAUAACUCAAUGCUCUCAUAGUCAUAAAGGCAUUGCAGGAGCUUCUUACAUACCUGCUGUUCAAGCAGCACUGCCUCGUCUCUUAGUUGCUGCUGCACCACCUGGACCCGGUGCUCGUGAAAAUCGUCGUCAGUGUCUAAAGGUUCUGCGGUUGUGGCUUGAGAGGAAAAUUUUGCCUGAUUCUCUUCUGCGACGUUAUAUGGAAGAUAUUGGAGUAGUAAGCGAUGAUACAUCUUCUGGGCUGUCCCUUAGACGUCCAUCCCGAGCUGAGCGGGCUAUAGAUGAUCCUAUUAGGGAAAUGGAAGGCAUGCUGGUUGAUGAGUAUGGGAGCAAUGCUACAUAUCAGUUGUCUGGAUUUUUCUCAUCUCAUGUCUUCGAAGAAGAAGAGGAAGAGGAGGAAACUCACCAUACUGCGGUCCAGGAAGCUGCAGAUUUAUCACCUCCGCAACGUACCCCUGCCGCAGGAGAUUUUGACAAUUAUAAUUUCACUCCAAAUGAGAAACGUCACCACAUCUUAGAGGAUGUCGAUGGUGAACUUGAAAUGGAAGAUGUUUCUGGACACCAGAAGGAUGAAAGAUCACCAAUGACUGGUGAUACCUUGGGGACUGAUCCAAGUAAUGUAACUUCCGUCAAGAUUGGCGAAUCAACUCUAAGCAUACCUUUUGAAUUGCCUCCUCUUCCUGAGGGUUCUCCACCUCUGCCUCUAGAUUCUCCUCCAGCAACCCCACCUUUGCCAUCUUCACUGCCUCCGUCACCUCUGCAGCCUCCAAUGCCACCUGCAAUGCCCUUGUCUCCGGCUCCGGCUCCGGCUCCGGCUCCAGCUCCAGCUCCAGCUCCUCCACCACCGCCCCUCUUGCAGCCACAUGCAAUUCUGCCGUCUAUUGGUCUUCCUCCCCCAGUAUUGCCUCAACCAUCUUUACCACCUCAGCCUUCAAUGGCCUCUCAACAUGUAAACCUGCUUCCAUCUUCAAAUUUAGCCUCAUCGGUGGCAGCAUAUCAAAAUGGUCCUGUGCUACCGGAAAUUGGUGGAAACCCUGGUGUGAACCCUCUUACAAAAGUGGCUGGAAAUGCUUCUCACGGACCUCCUGUUGAUGCAUCUGUGAGAAAUGAAAUGUUUGCUCAACAGGGACCUAGCUUUGUGCCAAUUGGUGUAGGAACCACACAAGAACCCUCUCGAUAUAGUUCAACUAGGUCUUUGGAAUAUGGGCAUAGUAACAUGUAUGCAAAUUCACUAGCUUCUCAACCCAAUAUGCAAUUCCAGCCUGGAAAUGUGCCUUUCACUCAAAGGCCUUUGCCUCCAAACCCCCCACCUCAAGGUACACCAAGUCAUUUCUCAUAUCCAGUGCCCACAAUCCGGCAUCAUUCUCCCGCUGUUCAGCAUCAUCCUCCUCCGAUUCAGAAUCCCUUGCCUCCUGUGCAGCAUCCUCCACCUCACUCCUAUACUCUGCAAUAUUCUGUGCCUAAUUUUGCUGAUGGAUCAAGGCAUUUUUCUGUUGAUGAACAAUGGAGGAUGAGACCUAGUGACUUGAACUCUGAUCAGCGUGGUGUGUGGAUGCAUGGAGUGAGAUCAUGUUCGGGUCCAGCUUAUACCCAGGAUGGUUAUCCUAUGCCACCUCCAGAGAAGCCCUCUGUUGGUGCUGCUAGUUUUCAACCACCAGUCCUGAACACAUAUCCAAGUGGUACUUCAGUCCCAGGUCAUGGUGUAAAUAACAUAAUUCCUGGCAGACCAGAUAUGUCUGCGUUCAGUUGGAGGCCUGCUUAAAAGUGGAGAGUCCUUUAGAGCCGUGGCUGUGGGAGAUCAUUGAUACUGGAUUUUUCGGGGAAACUCACCACCCAAUGCUUAUCUGUAACUUGCGAAUUGGAUCACAGCAAAAUGAAUGUGUUCAGAAGUUUUGAUGACCCUUAACAGGAUUGUGUAUAUUGUAAUUUUCCUGACAAAAGCAUCCUGCAAACAUAUGCUUCGAAUUCAAUGCUACAUUUCUGUUGCCUUGCUUUUUCCCAACUCGUGUCUUUCAAGAAGAAGAGGAAUAGGAAAUCAAUCGUCCUGCAUUCAAGGAAGCUGCUGAUUUAUCAUAUCCACAGCAUACCCCUGGUGCAGGAGAUUUUGACAAUUUCUAUUCCCUCCAAAUGAGAAAUGCCACAUCUUAGAGGAUGUAGAUGGUCAGCUUGAAAUGGGAUGUGUCUGAACACCAAAAGGAUCAAAGAUCAUCAAUGACUGGUGAUGCCUCGGGGACUGAUCCUAGUAAUGCAAGUUUGGUCAAGAUAGUCAAAUCAACUCUAAGCAUCCCUUUUGAAUUGCCUACUGUUCCUGGGGCAUUUCCUCCACAGCCUGUAGAUUCUCCUGCAACCCCACCUUUGACAUCCUUACUGCCUCUUGUCAUCACUGCAGCCUCCACUCUCCCAUUGUCUCGAGCUCCACAUCCUCCGUCGCCAGCCCUAUUGGAGCCACGUGCAAUUCUGUCCUCCUUAAGUUUUGCCUCAACCAUAUCUACCAUCGCUGCCGUCAAUGGCGUCUCAACAUUUAACCUGCAUCCGUGUUCAAUUUUAGCCUUAUCGGUGGUGGCAUAUCAAAAUGGUCCUGUGUUAACUGAAAUUGGUGGAAACCCAAGUAUAAGGGUUGAGACUUUCCUUCCCUUCAUACUCUAAUUGCUGCUCAUCCACCAGGGUUAUGGGACAGCAUGGAUGUAAAUUUUUUUUUUUUAUUUAUUUAUUAACAGGGAAACCCUCUUACAGAAUUGGUUGGAAAUGCUUUUCAUGGAUCUCUUAUUGACGAAAUGUUUGCUCAGCAGGCACCUUUUGUGCCAAUUGGUGUAGAAAGCUCACAAGAAUGCUUUUGAUAUUAUUGAACAAGGUCUUUGGAAUAUGCAAUUCCAACAAGGUCUCUGGAAUAUGCUCUUGAUAUUAUUGAACAAGGUCUUUGGAUAUGAUAAGGUGUGCAAAUUUACUAGCUGCUGAACCCAAUAUGCAAUUCCAGUCUGGAAAUCUGCCUUUCGCUCAAAGGCCUUUGCCACCAUGCCUCCAACCUCAAUGUACACCAAUUCAUUUAUCCUGUCCACAGUCCAUAAUCCAGCGACUUUCUCCUGCAGCUCAGUUUCAUCAUCUUCCAGUUCAGAAUCCUCUGCCUGUUAUGCAGCAACCUCCACCUCCUAAUUUUGCUGGUGGACCAAGGCAAUUUUCUGUUGAUGAACAAUGGAGGAGGAUGAGCUUAUUGACUUUAAUUCUGAUCAUCGUGGUGUGUGGAUGCAUGGAGUGAGAUUGUGUUCAGGUCCAGCUUAUGCCCAGGAUGUUUAUCCUACACCACCUCCUGAGAAGCCCUGUAUUGGUACUGCUAAUUUUCAACCAUUGCUCCUGAGCAGGUAUCCAGGCGGUACUUCAGGACCAGGUUGUGCUAAUGACUUGAUUCCUGCUGGCCAUUUUUGUCCGCAUUCAAAGUCCUUUGGCUGUGGGAUAUCAUUGAAGCUGGAUUUUUCCCGGAUAUUCACCACCCAAUGCUUAUCCAACAUGCCAAUUGGUUGUUGACAAAAUGAAUGUUUUAAUGAUCCUCAACGGGAUUCUGUAUAAUAAUUUUUCUGACAAAAGCAAAAUAUAUGCUUUGAAAUGUUAGCAAUUUUGAUCAAGUCUUGUAAUUAUUCGAAAUUCAUUAAACAUUGCUGGCACUUUUCACAA
Molecule: RNA transcript, 6634 nt
Organism: Coffea eugenioides
Lineage: Eukaryota; Viridiplantae; Streptophyta; Magnoliopsida; Gentianales; Rubiaceae
Gene name: ENHANCER OF AG-4 protein 2-like
Exons: 16
Source: RefSeq, a predicted model, not a curated record